CAUUAAGUGGCUGAAAGCAAGCAAUGAUCUCUUAAAUCAAUUUAUAAUAUUUUAGCAAAUAUUCUUAAUGG
This 71-nucleotide transfer RNA is filed under the name Macrodiprion sp. 2 GYN-2022c. RNAcentral's name for it is "tRNA-Lys". The record is from RNAcentral. Lineage: Eukaryota; Metazoa; Arthropoda; Insecta; Hymenoptera; Diprionidae.